RNAcentral lists this unclassified non-coding RNA (520 nucleotides) under uncultured Entrophospora. RNAcentral's name for it is "SSU rRNA". It matches the Rfam family "Eukaryotic small subunit ribosomal RNA", at positions 569 to 1083 of the family's 1831-position model. The record is from RNAcentral. Lineage: Eukaryota; Fungi; Glomeromycota; Glomeromycetes; Entrophosporales; Entrophosporaceae.
AGCAGCCGCGGUAAUUCCAGCUCCAAUAGCGUAUAUUAAAGUUGUUGCAGUUAAAAAGCUCGUAGUUGAAUUUCGGGAUUGACGUGAUGGUCGUGCCUUACGGGGUAUGAACUGUUGCUGUUGAUUUCUCACCUUCUGGAGAAACUUGAUGUCCUUAAUUGGGUGUCUUGCGGAUCCAGGACCUUUACCUUGAAAAAAUUAGAGUGUUUAAAGCAGGCAUUUUUGCUCGAAUACAUUAGCAUGGAAUAAUAGAAUAGGACGGCAUGGUUCUAUUUUGUUGGUUUCUAGGAUCACCGUAAUGAUUAAUAGGGAUAGUUGGGGGCAUUAGUAUUCAAUUGUCAGAGGUGAAAUUCUUGGAUUUAUUGAAGACUAACUACUGCGAAAGCAUUUGCCAAGGAUGUUUUCAUUAAUCAAGAACGAAAGUUAGGGGAUCGAAGACGAUCAGAUACCGUCGUAGUCUUAACCAUAAACUAUGCCGACCAGGAAUCAGACGAUGUUAAUUUUUUAAUGACUCGUUUGG